Molecule: ribosomal RNA, 277 nt
Filed under: uncultured bacterium
Lineage: Bacteria
Description: partial 16S ribosomal RNA
Rfam family: Bacterial small subunit ribosomal RNA
Source: RNAcentral
GACGAACGCUGGCGGUGUGCUUCAUACAUGCAAGUCGAACGAGGUAGCAAUACCUAGUGGCGGACGGGUGAGUAACGCGUGGGAAUCUGCCUUAAAAUGGGGGAUAGCUGGCCGAAAGGCUAAUUAAUACCGCAUAAGCGCAUAGCUUUAAGGGUUAUGCGUAAAAGGAGUAAUCCGUUUUAAGAUGAGCCCGCGUCCGAUUAGCUAGUUGGUAGGGUAACGGCCUACCAAGGCUAUGAUCGGUAGGUGGUCUGAGAGGAUGAUCACCCACAAUGGA